This 1161-nucleotide long non-coding RNA is filed under the name Numida meleagris (helmeted guineafowl). Its description in RNAcentral is "lncRNA (ENSNMEG00000021867.1)". Lineage: Eukaryota; Metazoa; Chordata; Aves; Galliformes; Numididae. The record is from RNAcentral.
CAACAGCGUCUUCUCGAGGCCACCACGCAGCCCACCGUAGCGCCCACUCUCCCCUCACACUCUCGGGCCCGUUCUUUCGGGACGCGCUGCUACAAACCCGUGCCCGCCACAGCCCAGGGCAGCUCAGACGCAUGCAGGACACCGCCAAGGAGAGCCGCUGGGGACGCGCCUCCCCGGGCCAGCCCCGCUCCGCCGCCCGGCCAGCACCCCGUCCCUGACGCGCAACCUCCUCUCCCCGCAGCAAACCUUCUCUUUAUUAUAUUCCCUUAUUUCGGGCGGGGAGAGAAGGCUCGGCCUGCCUGCUGCCGCCACCGCGCUCCGCCGACCCGCGGCCCCGCGCGCAAAGGCCGCCAACCGCCGCCAGGGGGCGCCCGAGCGCGGCAGGACCCGCACGGCACCGCGGCGGAGGGAAGCAGCCGCCCGCCGAACGCGGAGACGCCGCGCGGCUCGGAAGCUCACCUCGCGGGGCGGGGCUCCGCGGCGCGGCCCCGGCGGUCGGGCUCAAGAUGGCACUCCGGCGCGAGCGCAGCCCGCCCAGGGACCGCGGGGCACGCCGGGACGCGCCGUCCCCUCCACGGAAGCAGAGCGGGGGCGGCACCGAGCCGCCGGCGAGCGGGGAUGUGCGCCGCCAACGGCCGCGUGGGCACCCUACGGGGAGGGCUGCCCUCAUCUCUGCGGUCAGAGGGGCACGGGGGAAAACCGGCCCUGGUCACUGACACAGGUUGUAAUCGCUUGUACAGCUGCCAGCUUGCAACGCUGCCAUUCCCACACCUCUGCGGCAGUGAACUUUAUCAUACCAAAAUUAGCUGGUUUUGCGCAAUUGGACACACGUUUUCGACACAUACACAAGCAUACUUUCCCUUUAUUUGCCCUGCUUCUGUAAAGUCUUACAUCUUAAAAAAAACACACACACCCAGAACAAAGUCAUCAGAAGCUCUGGCAAGUCACUGCUGUUUUUGUGCUCUCCUGACCAAACAGGUUUCCCCACUACAACCCGAUGAUUUCACACCUAAGCGUGAGGCCUGUGCCAAAGUUCACAUGGCCCCUGAGCUGCACCAGCCGGGCUCUGAGGAGCAGCAUCCCUUACUUCUGCUCCGGCUGCUGCUGGCAUCCAGCACCUCACUCCCAGCGCUGUCAUGCUGCAUGUUGCACAUCAAUUAA